Molecule: ribosomal RNA, 396 nt
Filed under: uncultured bacterium
Lineage: Bacteria
Description: partial 16S ribosomal RNA
Rfam family: Bacterial small subunit ribosomal RNA
Source: RNAcentral
AAUAUUUGUCAAUGGGGGAAACCCUGAACCAGCAAUGACGCGUGAGUGACGAAGGUUUUCGGAUUNUUUAGCUCUGUCUUUGGGGANGAUAAUGUCGGUACCCAAGUAGAUAGCCACGGCUAACCACGUUCCAGCAGCCGCGGUAAUACGUAGGUGGCAAGCGUUGUCCGGAAUUAUUGGGCGUAAAGGGCGAGUAGGAGGCCAGUUAUGUCAGAUGUGAAAAGCUACGGCUCAACCCUAACAUAGCGUUUGAAACUGAUUGGCUUGAGAGUAGGAGAGGGAAGUGGAAUUCCUAAUGUAGCGGUGAAAUGCGUAGAUAUUAGAAGGAACACCAGUGGCGAAAGCGACUUCCUGGCCUACAACUGACACUGAUGCGCGAAAACGUGGGGAGCAAAC